Molecule: ribosomal RNA, 424 nt
Filed under: uncultured bacterium
Lineage: Bacteria
Description: bacterial SSU rRNA
Rfam family: Bacterial small subunit ribosomal RNA
Source: RNAcentral
UAAGGAAUAUUGGUCAAUGGACGCAAGUCUGAACCAGCCAUGCCGCGUGGAGGAUGACGGCCCUCUGGGUUGUAAACUCCUUUUAUCUGGGAAGAAAUGCAGAUUUUCUAAUCUGUUUGACGGUACCAGAGGAAUAAGCACCGGCUAACUCCGUGCCAGCAGCCGCGGUAAUACGGAGGGUGCAAGCGUUAUCCGGAUUCACUGGGUUUAAAGGGUGCGUAGGUGGACAGGUAAGUCAGUGGUGAAAUCUCCAAGCUUAACUUGGAAACUGCCGUUGAUACUAUCUGUCUUGAAUAUCGUGGAGGUAAGCGGAAUAUGUCAUGUAGCGGUGAAAUGCUUAGAUAUGACAUAGAACACCGAUUGCGAAGGCAGCUUACUACACGAUCAUUGACACUGAGGCACGAAAGCGUGGGGAGCAAACAGG